Molecule: long non-coding RNA, 611 nt
Filed under: Anas platyrhynchos platyrhynchos (common mallard)
Lineage: Eukaryota; Metazoa; Chordata; Aves; Anseriformes; Anatidae
Description: lncRNA (ENSAPLG00000022421.1)
Source: RNAcentral
CACUUUUAUUCGUUCCCUGGGGAUGUUGCUGGCUGUCGAUGGGGGAUGUGGCCAUGGGGCUGAGGCUCAUUCUGGGAAGGAUCUGGAUGCACUGUAGACACUAAGCCUGUCCUUUUGUCGUGCCAGGCAAUGUGGUGAGUUCCCCAGCAAGUCCACCACCCCCAGGUGAGAGAUUCCCUCCUAUACCCCCAGAAACCCAAGCAUGGGGAGUGGGCGUGCUGUGCUGCCUUCCCCAGGGCAUGGGGACAAGCAGGAGCUUUACAGGGCAGGAGCUGUGCCAGCUGCACGGGUGUGUCCUGCUCCCUGCCUCUCCCCAUCACACCCCGCUGCCCUCACACCCUCUGUCCCCCAGAUCCACAUGCAUGGAUCCCGCACGCUCUCCCCACAAGCACGGUGCUGGCAGUGGCGGCCGUCGGCCUAGUCCUCCUGUCUACAGGCAGCUGGUUUGCCAUCAGGAAAGGUGCCUGCAGAGGGAGAUGCCCAAGGCAGCAGCACGUUGACAGCCCACAGAUGGAAACCACAGACCAUGGCGAAGUCACAUACUCCACCAUCGCCCACGUUCGACGGGACAGGGUGAGUCGUGGCACAGCUGCUGCACAGCUCCUUUCUGC